This 424-nucleotide ribosomal RNA is filed under the name uncultured bacterium. RNAcentral describes it as "bacterial SSU rRNA". It matches the Rfam family "Bacterial small subunit ribosomal RNA", at positions 354 to 776 of the family's 1533-position model. The record is from RNAcentral.
GUGAGGAAUAUUGGUCAAUGGGCAAAAGCCUGAACCAGCCAAGUCGCGUGAGGGAAGACGGUCCUAUGGAUUGUAAACCUCUUUUGUCGGGGAGCAACGGCGCCACGUGUGGCGGAAGGGAGAGUACCCGAAGAAAAAGCAUCGGCUAACUCCGUGCCAGCAGCCGCGGUAAUACGGAGGAUGCGAGCGUUAUCCGGAUUUAUUGGGUUUAAAGGGUGCGUAGGCGGAACGUUAAGUCAGCGGUAAAAUUGCGGGGCUCAACCCUGUACCGCCGUUGAAACUGGCGUUCUGGAGUGGGCGAGAAGUAUGCGGAAUGCGAGGUGUAGCGGUGAAAUGCAUAGAUAUCACGCAGAACUCCGAUUGCGAAGGCAGCAUACCGGCGCCCAACUGACGCUGAGGCACGAAAGCGUGGGGAUCGAACAGG